RNAcentral lists this ribosomal RNA (497 nucleotides) under uncultured bacterium. Its description in RNAcentral is "partial 16S ribosomal RNA". It matches the Rfam family "Bacterial small subunit ribosomal RNA", at positions 28 to 507 of the family's 1533-position model. The record is from RNAcentral.
GAUGAACGCUGGCGGCGUGCCUAAUACAUGCAAGUCGAGCGAACAGGCGAGGAGCUUGCUCCUUUGACGUUAGCGGCGGACGGGUGAGUAACACGUGGGUAACCUACCUAUAAGACUGGGAUAACAUCGGGAAACCGGAGCUAAUACCGGAUAAUAUUUCGAACCGCAUGGUUCGAUAGUGAAAGAUGGCUUUGCUAUCACUUAUAGAUGGACCUGCGCCGUAUUAGCUAGUUGGUAAGGUAACGGCUUACCAAGGCAACGAUACGUAGCCGACCUGAGAGGGUGAUCGGCCACACUGGAACUGAGACACGGUCCAGACUCCUACGGGAGGCAGCAGUAGGGAAUCUUCCGCAAUGGGCGAAAGCCUGACGGAGCAACGCCGCGUGAGUGAUGAAGGUCUUCGGAUCGUAAAACUCUGUUAUUAGGGAAGAACAAACGUGUAAGUAACUGUGCACGUCUUGACGGUACCUAAUCAGAAAGCCACGGCUAACUACGUG